This 200-nucleotide ribosomal RNA is filed under the name uncultured bacterium. Its description in RNAcentral is "partial 16S ribosomal RNA". It matches the Rfam family "Bacterial small subunit ribosomal RNA", at positions 328 to 544 of the family's 1533-position model. The record is from RNAcentral.
ACGCUCGACACCUACGGGAGUCAGCAGUGGGGAAUAUUGCACAAUGGGGGAAACCCUGAUGCAGCGACGCCGCGUGGAGGAAGAAGGUCUUCGGAUUGUAAACUCCUGUUGUUGGGGAAAAAGAGGAUGGUACCCAACAAGGAAGUGACGGCUAACUACGUGCCAACAGCCGCCGGUAAUCUGAGCGGGCGUGGCAAGGC